RNAcentral lists this ribosomal RNA (461 nucleotides) under uncultured beta proteobacterium. Its description in RNAcentral is "bacterial SSU rRNA". It matches the Rfam family "Bacterial small subunit ribosomal RNA", at positions 200 to 642 of the family's 1533-position model. Lineage: Bacteria; Pseudomonadati; Pseudomonadota; Betaproteobacteria. The record is from RNAcentral.
AGGAAAGCAGGGGAUCGCAAGACCUUGCGCUUUUGGAGCGGCCGAUGUCUGAUUAGCUAGUUGGUGAGGUAAAGGCUUACCAAGGCUUCGAUCAGUAGCUGGUCUGAGAGGACGACCAGCCACACUGGGACUGAGACACGGCCCAGACUCCUACGGGAGGCAGCAGUGGGGAAUUUUGGACAAUGGGGGAAACCCUGAUCCAGCCAUGCCGCGUGAGUGAAGAAGGCCUUCGGGUUGUAAAGCUCUUUCAGCCGGAACGAAAAGGUUACGGUUAAUACCCGUGACUAAUGACGGUACCGGAAGAAGAAGCACCGGCUAACUACGUGCCAGCAGCCGCGGUAAUACGUAGGGUGCGAGCGUUAAUCGGAAUUACUGGGCGUAAAGCGUGCGCAGGCGGUUUUGUAAGUCAGAUGUGAAAUCCCCGGGCUCAACCUGGGAACUGCGUUUGAAACUACAAGGCU